CCUACGGGUGACAGCAGUGAGGAAUAUUGGUCAAUGGACGAGAGUCUGAACCAGCCAAGUAGCGUGAAGGAUGACUGCCCUAUGGGUUGUAAACUUCUUUUAUAUGGGAAUAAAAUGUUCCACGUGUGGGAUUUUGUAUGUACCAUAUGAAUAAGGAUCGGCUAACUCCGUGCCAGCAGCCGCGGUAAUACGGAGGAUCCGAGCGUUAUCCGGAUUUAUUGGGUUUAAAGGGAGCGUGGGUGGAUUGUUAAGUCAGUUGUGAAAGUUUGCGGCUCAACCGUAAAAUUGCAGUUGAAACUGGCAGUCUUGAGUACAGUAGAGGUGGGCGGAAUUCGUGGUGUAGCGGUGAAAUGCUUAGAUAUCACGAAGAACUCCGAUUGCGAAGGCAGUUCACUGGACUGCAACUGACACUGAGGCUCGAAAGUGUGGGUAUCAAACAGGAUUAGAUACCCUGGUAGUC
This 460-nucleotide ribosomal RNA is filed under the name uncultured bacterium. RNAcentral's name for it is "partial 16S ribosomal RNA". It matches the Rfam family "Bacterial small subunit ribosomal RNA", at positions 338 to 795 of the family's 1533-position model. The record is from RNAcentral.